AGGGUUUGAUCCUGGCUCAGAUUGAACGUUGGCGGCAGGCUUAACACAUGCAAGUCGAACGAGAAAGCGCCUUCGGGCGCGAGUACAGUGGCGGACGGGUGAGUAACGCGUAGGAACCUGCCCGGCAGAAGGGGACAACUCGGGGAAACUCGAGCUAAUACCGUAUGACAUCUCUCGUCUUCGCGACGAAGGAUCAAAGGGGGCCUAUCCUUGGAAGCUCCCGCUGCCGGAGGGGCCUGCGUUGGAUUAGCUGGUUGGUAGGGUAACGGCCUACCAAGGCGACGAUCCAUAGCUGGUCUGAGAGGACGAUCAGCCACACUGGAACUGAGACACGGUCCAGACUCCUACGGGAGGCAGCAGUGGGGAAUCUUGGGCAAUGGGCGCAAGCCUGACCCAGCCAUGCCGCGUGUGUGAAGAAGGCCUUCGGGUUGUAAAGCACUUUCAGCGGUGAAGAAAAGCCGGCGGUCAAUAGCCGCGGGUCUUGACGUUAACCGCAGAAGAAGCACCGGCUAACUCCGUGCCAGCAGCCGCGGUAAUACGGAGGGUGCGAACGUUAAUCGGAAUUACUGGGCGUAAAGCGCGCGUAGGCGGUUCGGUAAGUGGGGUGUGAAAGCCCCGGGCUCAACCUGGGAAUUGCAUUCCAAACUGCCGGACUCGAGUAUGGUAGAGGGAGGUAGAAUUUCCUGUGUAGCGGUGGAAUGCGUAGAUAUAGGAAGGAAUACCAAUGGCGAAGGCAGCCUCCUGGACCAAUACUGACGCUGAGGUGCGAAAGCGUGGGGAGC
RNAcentral lists this ribosomal RNA (782 nucleotides) under uncultured bacterium. RNAcentral describes it as "bacterial SSU rRNA". It matches the Rfam family "Bacterial small subunit ribosomal RNA", at positions 8 to 769 of the family's 1533-position model. The record is from RNAcentral.